This 798-nucleotide ribosomal RNA is filed under the name Triticum aestivum (bread wheat). RNAcentral describes it as "partial small subunit ribosomal RNA". Lineage: Eukaryota; Viridiplantae; Streptophyta; Magnoliopsida; Poales; Poaceae. The record is from RNAcentral.
AUGUGCGGGCGCCAGAAGGGCGGCGACAUCGAGGCGGGGACCUCCGGUGGCACUGCUGGCACCGUGGUGCCGGCGCCGGCGCAGGUGCUGUACCCCGGCAUGGCGGAGAGCCCGCCGCUGCGCUGGGCGCUCAUCCGGAAGAUCUACGUCAUCCUCUCCCUGCAGCUUCUCCUCACCGCCGUCAUCGCGGCCGUCGUUGUCAAGGUCCCCGCCUUCCCGCACUUCUUCGUCUCCUCCUACGCCGGCCUCGGGCUCUACAUCUUCAUCCUCAUCCUCCCCUUCAUCGUGCUCUGCCCGUUGUACUUCUACAGCCAGCCGCACCCAGUCAACCUGCUGCUGCUCGGCGUCUUCACAGACUUCGCUGUGGGCAUGACAUGUGCCUUUACUAGCGGCAAGGUCAUUUUGGAAGCGGCGAUUCUUACCACAGUGGUUGUCUUCAGCCUCACUGCUUACACCUUUUUGGCUGCAAGGAGGGGCAUGGACUUCAGCUUCCUUGGUCCUUUCCUAUUUGCUUCUCUCAUCAUGUUGCUCGUCUUUGGGUUCAUUCAGAUCCUCUUCCCACUGGGCAAGCUCUCUCACAUGAUCUAUGGCGCGCUGGCGGCACUCAUCUUCAGUGGUUACAUUGUCUAUGACACGGACAUCAUCAUCAAGCGUUACACGUAUGACGAGUAUGUCUGGGCCGCCGUCUCGCUCUACCUUGACAUCAUCAAUCUGUUCAUGGCACAGCUGAACCUGUUUAGCGCGGGUGACACUAAAGCACGCCCCCCUGCCCCUGACUGUUCACGAGUCCUUGACUGA